GGGGGGGGGGGGGGGGGGGGGGGGCGGGGGGGGGGCGGGCGGGGAGGCCGUGCUUGGGGGGGGUGGUCGAGGGGCGGCGGGGUGAGUGACACGGGAGUCGCCUGGCCUUGGCUGUGGGAUGACUGCAGGAAGCUGGGGCUACUACCGAAUAGGAGGUCCUUCGGGAUGGUGGGGGUUAGAUGGGUUCGGCGGGUGGGGAUGGACUCGCGGCUGAUCAGCUUGUUGGUGGGGUAGUGGCUUACCAAGGCUUUGACGGGUAGCCGGCCUGAGAGGGUGACCGGCCACAUUGGGACUGAGAUACGGCCCAGACUCCUACGGGAGGCAGCAGUGGGGAAUAUUGCACAAUGGGCGGAAGCCUGAUGCAGCAACGCCGCGUGCGGGAUGACGGCCUUCGGGUUGUAAACCGCUUUCGCCUGUGACGAAGCGUGAGUGACGGUAAUGGGUAAAGAAGCACCGGCUAACUACGUG
This 468-nucleotide ribosomal RNA is filed under the name uncultured bacterium. Its description in RNAcentral is "partial 16S ribosomal RNA". It matches the Rfam family "Bacterial small subunit ribosomal RNA", at positions 35 to 507 of the family's 1533-position model. The record is from RNAcentral.